This 62-nucleotide transfer RNA is filed under the name Colias eurytheme (orange sulphur). Its description in RNAcentral is "tRNA-Ala". The record is from RNAcentral. RNAcentral also lists the same sequence under 35 other names. Lineage: Eukaryota; Metazoa; Arthropoda; Insecta; Lepidoptera; Pieridae.
AGGAUUAUAGUUUAAAAAAAACUUUUGAUUUGCAUUCAAAAAAUAUUAUAUAAAUAAUUUUU